RNAcentral lists this ribosomal RNA (405 nucleotides) under uncultured bacterium. RNAcentral describes it as "partial 16S ribosomal RNA". It matches the Rfam family "Bacterial small subunit ribosomal RNA", at positions 30 to 526 of the family's 1533-position model. The record is from RNAcentral.
AUUGAACGCUGGCGGCAGGCUUAACACAUGCAAGUCGAACGAGUGGCGGACGGGUGAGUAAUGCUUGGGAAUCUGGCUUAUGGAGGGGGAUAACGACGGGACACUGUCGCUAAUACCGCGUUCCAUAGGAUGCGCCCAAGUGGGAUUAGGGAGUUGGUGGGAUAAUGGCAUACCAAGCCGACGAUCUCUAGCUGGUCUGAGAGGAUGACCAGCCACAUCGUGACGGAGACACGGCCCGGACUCCUACGGUAGGCAGCAGGGGGGAAUAUUGCGCAAUGGGGGCAACCUGACGCAGCCAUGCCGAGUGAAUGAAGAAGGCCUUCGGGUUGUAAAGUACUUUCGGUGACGAGGCGUUAAUCACAGAAGAAGCACCGGCUAACUCCGUGCCAGCAGCCGCGGUAAUUC